Molecule: ribosomal RNA, 465 nt
Filed under: uncultured Halomonas sp.
Lineage: Bacteria; Pseudomonadati; Pseudomonadota; Gammaproteobacteria; Oceanospirillales; Halomonadaceae
Description: bacterial SSU rRNA
Rfam family: Bacterial small subunit ribosomal RNA
Source: RNAcentral
CCUACGGGUGGCUGCAGUGGGGAAUAUUGGACAAUGGGGGCAACCCUGAUCCAGCCAUGCCGCGUGUGUGAAGAAGGCCCUCGGGUUGUAAAGCACUUUCAGCGAGGAAGAACGCCUAGCGGUUAAUACCCGCUAGGAAAGACAUCACUCGCAGAAGAAGCACCGGCUAACUCCGUGCCAGCAGCCGCGGUAAUACGGAGGGUGCAAGCGUUAAUCGGAAUUACUGGGCGUAAAGCGCGCGUAGGUGGCUUGAUAAGCCGGUUGUGAAAGCCCCGGGCUCAACCUGGGAACGGCAUCCGGAACUGUCAAGCUAGAGUGCAGGAGAGGAAGGUAGAAUUCCCGGUGUAGCGGUGAAGUGCGUAGAGAUCGGGAGGAAUACCAGUGGCGAAGGCGGCCUUCUGGACUGACACUGACGCUGAGGUGCGAAAGCGUGGGUAGCAAACAGGAUUAGAUACCCUAGUAGUC